AUUUGACCCCACAGAACAAGAGAAAUUGGUAGCAAAAUGGAGACAGAAUUUCUGAUGUUUUGCCCUUGAUUUCACCAACGUAUAAUUAACAAUUAAAACUUGAGUUAAGUCAAAUUGCCAACAUCCGCUGGAUCAUUGAAAAAGCAAGAGCAUUCCAGAAAAAC
This is a long non-coding RNA of Capra hircus (goat), 164 nucleotides long. RefSeq lists it as uncharacterized. NCBI's taxonomy places the organism in Eukaryota, Metazoa, Chordata, Mammalia, Artiodactyla, Bovidae. The record is from RefSeq and is a predicted model, not a curated record. The transcript is spliced from 3 exons.